AGACUACGAGUUUGAUAGGUCGGAGGUGUAAGUGCGGUAACGCAUUUAGCUGACCGAUACUAAUUGACCGAGGGCUUGAACUA
Molecule: ribosomal RNA, 83 nt
Filed under: Clostridiales bacterium
Lineage: Bacteria; Bacillati; Bacillota; Clostridia; Eubacteriales
Description: partial 23S ribosomal RNA
Rfam family: Bacterial large subunit ribosomal RNA
Source: RNAcentral